RNAcentral lists this ribosomal RNA (497 nucleotides) under uncultured bacterium. RNAcentral's name for it is "partial 16S ribosomal RNA". It matches the Rfam family "Bacterial small subunit ribosomal RNA", at positions 28 to 507 of the family's 1533-position model. The record is from RNAcentral.
GAUGAACGCUGGCGGCGUGCCUAAUACAUGCAAGUCGAGCGAACGGACGAGAAGCUUGCUUUUCUGAUGUUAGCGGCGGACGGGUGAGUAACACGUGGAUAACCUACCUAUAAAACUGGGAUAACUUCGGGAAACCGGAGCUAAUACCGGAUAAUAUUUUGAACCGCAUGGUUCAAAAGUGAAAGACGGUCUUGCUGUCACUUAUAGAUGGAUCCGCGCUGCAUUAGCUAGUUGGUAAGGUAACGGCUUACCAAGGCAACGAUGCAUAGCCGACCUGAGAGGGUGAUCGGCCACACUGGAACUGAGACACGGUCCAGACUCCUACGGGAGGCAGCAGUAGGGAAUCUUCCGCAAUGGGCGAAAGCCUGACGGAGCAACGCCGCGUGAGUGAUGAAGGUCUUCGGAUCGUAAAACUCUGUUAUUAGGGAAGAACAUAUGUGUAAGUAACUGUGCACAUCUUGACGGUACCUAAUCAGAAAGCCACGGCUAACUACGUG